AACGAACGCUGGCGGCAGGCCUCAAACAUGCAAGUCUAGGGGGUGCAGCAAUGCAUCACCGGCGGACGGGUGCGUAACGCGUGGGAAUAUACCUAUUGGUUCGGAACAACUGCGGGAAACUGCAGCUAAUACCGAAUGUGCCCGAAAGGGGAAAGGUUUAUCGCCAAUGGAUUAGCCCGCGUAGGAUUAGCUAGUUGGUGGGGUAAUGGCCCACCAAGGCUCCGAUCCUUAGCUGCUGAGAGGAAGAUCAGCCACACUGGGACUGAGACACGGCCCAGACUCCUACGGGAGGCAGCAGUUGGGAAUCUUGGACAAUGGGGGAAACCCUGAUCCAGCCAUGCCGCGUGAGUGAUGAAGGCCUUC
This 363-nucleotide ribosomal RNA is filed under the name uncultured bacterium. Its description in RNAcentral is "bacterial SSU rRNA". It matches the Rfam family "Bacterial small subunit ribosomal RNA", at positions 29 to 419 of the family's 1533-position model. The record is from RNAcentral.